Molecule: long non-coding RNA, 294 nt
Organism: Eurytemora carolleeae
Lineage: Eukaryota; Metazoa; Arthropoda; Copepoda; Calanoida; Temoridae
Exons: 4
Source: RefSeq, a predicted model, not a curated record
AGACCGAUUGUUUCACCUAAAGAAACUUUAUCUGACCCGAAACCGAAUUCAAGUUUUAGAAAACUUGGAUAAGAAUAAAAACUUAGAGGAAUUGCAUCUAGGGUCACAGCGUUUACCUGCAGGCGAACAGUUUAUUAUAAAUCCUAGUUGUUGUGAAGAACUCUCUAAAUGUUUAAAGUAUUUAAAUAUAUCGAACACAAGACUCUCAACUUUAUCAGGUAUCGAGGGACUAAAAAGUCUGGAAACCUUGGUUUGUUUUGGCAAUAAUCUACAAUGCAUUCAAUCUGUUAUCAA